UAAGUCGGAUGACUGCGGUGAAAAUACGAGGAAAGUCCGAGCUUCACAGAGCAGGAUGCCGGAUAACGUCCGGUGGAGGCGACUCUAAGGAUAGUGCAACAGAGAUAUACCGCCGCGUAAGCGGUAAGGGUGGAAAGGCGAGGUAAGAGCUCACCGAGUGCUAUGGCAACUUAGCAUUCCUGUAAACCCCAUCCGAAGCAAGAUUGAUAGCGGAGCAUUAACGGCUGCUCGUCGGCUCCCAUGUAAUCGCUUAAACUUUUCGGCAACGGAAAGGAUAGAUAGAUAGUCAUCGGUACGAAAGUACAACAGAACUCGGCUUAUAGACUUGCUCA
RNAcentral lists this RNase P RNA (332 nucleotides) under human gut metagenome. RNAcentral describes it as "Bacterial RNase P class A". It matches the Rfam family "Bacterial RNase P class A". Rfam says of the family: Ribonuclease P (RNase P) is a ubiquitous endoribonuclease, found in archaea, bacteria and eukarya as well as chloroplasts and mitochondria. Its best characterised activity is the generation of mature 5'-ends of tRNAs by cleaving the 5'-leader elements of precursor-tRNAs. Cellular RNase Ps are ribonucleoproteins. The record is from RNAcentral.